RNAcentral lists this ribosomal RNA (1026 nucleotides) under uncultured bacterium. RNAcentral's name for it is "bacterial SSU rRNA". It matches the Rfam family "Bacterial small subunit ribosomal RNA", at positions 353 to 1371 of the family's 1533-position model. The record is from RNAcentral.
AGUGGGGAAUAUUGCACAAUGGGCGCAAGCCUGAUGCAGCCAUGCCGCGUGUGUGAAGAAGGCCUUAGGGUUGUAAAGCACUUUCAGUCGUGAGGAAAGGUGUGUGCUUAAUACGUACAUACUGUGACGUUAGCGACAGAAGAAGGACCGGCUAACUCCGUGCCAGCAGCCGCGGUAAUACGGAGGGUCCGAGCGUUAAUCGGAAUUACUGGGCGUAAAGCGCGCGUAGGUGGAUUGGUCAGUCAGAUGUGAAAGCCCAGGGCUCAACCUUGGAACUGCAUCUGAUACUGCUAGUCUAGAAUACAGUAGAGGGUAGUGGAAUUUCCUGUGUAGCGGUGAAAUGCGUAGAUAUAGGAAGGAACACCAGUGGCGAAGGCGACUACCUGGACUGAUAUUGACACUGAGGUGCGAAAGCGUGGGGAGCAAACAGGAUUAGAUACCCUGGUAGUCCACGCCGUAAACGAUGUCUACUAGCCGUUGGAAGACUUGAUCUUUUAGUGGCGAAGCUAACGCGAUAAGUAGACCGCCUGGGGAGUACGGCCGCAAGGUUAAAACUCAAAUGAAUUGACGGGGGCCCGCACAAGCGGUGGAGCAUGUGGUUUAAUUCGACGCAACGCGAAGAACCUUACCAACUCUUGACAUCCAGAGAAGAGGCUAGAGAUAGCUUUGUGCCUUCGGGAGCUCUGAGACAGGUGCUGCAUGGCUGUCGUCAGCUCGUGUUGUGAAAUGUUGGGUUAAGUCCCGUAACGAGCGCAACCCUUGUCCUUAUUUGCCAGCACGUAAUGGUGGGAACUCUAAGGAGACUGCCGGUGACAAACCGGAGGAAGGUGGGGACGACGUCAAGUCAUCAUGGCCCUUACGAGUUGGGCUACACACGUGCUACAAUGGCCGGUACAGAGGGCUGCAAACCUGCGAAGGUAAGCUAAUCUCACAAAACCGGUCGUAGUCCGGAUUGGAGUCUGCAACUCGACUCCAUGAAGUCGGAAUCGCUAGUAAUCGUGGAUCAGAAUGCCACGGUGAAUACGU